CCAGGGGAGCUGCGGCCUCCUGGGACGCCUGCCCCUGCGCUCCUGUGACCCCGACGGGAGAGCCGGUUCCCCAAGCCUGGGGAGGGAGGGAGAGGGUCUCAGGUUGCAGCGCCCGAGCUCUGUCCCUUCGACCCCAACGGCUGCAAGGGACGCGCCGGCAGGCUGGAAGGACGGUGCUGUGGCACGCGACAGGGCUUCCAGGUCUGCGGCUUCAUCCUUCAAGCGCACGCGGCCAGCAGGACGACAGCGGGGCAGCCCCUCCUGCCAGCCCGGGGGCUGCCACCUGGCAACCCCUCCUGCCCCCUCCCCCCUCCGGGUCCCUUCCCUGGCCUCCUCCCCGCCCUGUCCCCGGACCUGGCCCAGGUCCCAUCCCGGGCCCCGCCCUCUUCCCUGGCCGGGUCCCUGUAUCCCCAUCCCCUCCGCGGCCGGGCCCAGGCGGCCCAGGUGAGGGAACAACGGGCGGGGACCCAGACGCAGCAGCUCCCCGCCCCCCGCGCCCCGACACCCCUCCUUGGCGCAGCCGACUCUAUUAAGCCAACUCUUGAGAUGCCUGGGUGGCGGGCGGCGGGCGCUUCCGCAGGUACUGAAGUGGAUGGCCAGGUCGAGAGGCUGCCAGUGCAUCACCUGCCGUCAGGGAGAAGGGCCGCCGGGGCCAGGGAGUCAAGAAGGACUCACUUCAGCAGGAGUGUGACUGAGAUGAGAGCAGAUUCCGGAGCCCACGGUCAGAUGUCCCCAGAAGGGGACAGGCACGGAGGGGAAGUCCCCGAGGCCAGCGCAGGCUGGCGGGGCUGAGCCAGCUGCUGGCUGCACUGGCUGGAGAGUCCGCAGUUAGGAUGCCAGACCUCCCUUCUCCUGCACUGGGGGUUCUGCUUUAAGGCCCGGAUUGGUCCUCGGAUAGGCACCUGCAGGUGACACAAGCCAUGCCUCUGGAAAGCUUCUGUGGCUCCAUGUGGGGCCUCAAAGGUAGGAAAUGGCAGGUGUGCAGGACAGCCGAGUCACCCUGCGGAACGGGGAAGUGACAUUUUGUAGGUGUCUACCAGGACCCAGGAACUUACCAGCCUCACUAAAUCUUUAUCAUGCCUGUUACCAUUGUACAGAGAGAAAAUAAAACAGAGGUUCAAAGAGGCUCCA
This 1131-nucleotide long non-coding RNA is filed under the name Vulpes vulpes (red fox). RNAcentral's name for it is "lncRNA (ENSVVUG00000013923.1)". The record is from RNAcentral. Lineage: Eukaryota; Metazoa; Chordata; Mammalia; Carnivora; Canidae.